AUCUGAAGCCUGACGAGGAUGAGAACCUCCGGGGGCAGGAGGUUCGACCCGAGCGCAGCGAGAGAACGUUGCGUCAGCAACGGCCCGCAGGGCGAGCCACGCAGUGGCGAGUCAUCCUCUAUCACCG
This 127-nucleotide small RNA is filed under the name Salmonella enterica. Its description in RNAcentral is "RtT sRNA". It matches the Rfam family "RtT RNA". From Rfam's summary of the family: This family represents a bacterial cis-regulatory element known as RtT RNA. The exact function of RtT is unknown although it is thought that it may be involved in changing the cellular response in relation to amino acid starvation. The record is from RNAcentral. Lineage: Bacteria; Pseudomonadati; Pseudomonadota; Gammaproteobacteria; Enterobacterales; Enterobacteriaceae.